CCCACCCGGCGCGCGGGCGGGGCUGGAGGCGGAGAAGCGGAAACCAUGGCAACCAGGUCCUUGACUUCGGCUUUGCAGAAGCUCGGUCGUCAUGGUAACAAGGCUGUCUCGAACCAUUCAGCAGAGUAUGCGGUAUUUGAACACAAAAGCACUGUGCUCAACCUGACAACCAAGAUGGCCACUAAGUAAUGAACGUGGUCUUAAGAAGCCACCCCAAGACUAGCUUCCAAGUGGCUCCACAGCCCGGGCUGUCCUGGCUGUCUUAGUCUCUCGAGCACUGGGAUUACAGCUCUCUGUUUCCUGGUCUCUUACCAUGUGAGGAAUCAUGGCAUCAUGCCCCCACCACCUUGGAUGGAUCCAUUCUGUUGUGUCUCCCCGGGGUGAUGGACUGCGUCCCCCUGAAAUCAUGAGUCAAACUAACUCUGUGAUGGCUAAUCUUCCUUGUCAACCUGCCUGGAUUGAGAAUUUCCUAAGAGACAGACAUAGCUUUUGGUGUUACCGUGAAGCAUCUCCAGGGAGUUUAACUGAGCCGGGAAAACCCACCCUGAAUGUGGGUGACGUCAUCCCAUCCACUGGGACUCCAGACUAAAUAAAACAGAGACAGUGAGCGGA
This is a long non-coding RNA of Peromyscus californicus insignis, 612 nucleotides long. RefSeq lists it as uncharacterized. The record is from RefSeq and is a predicted model, not a curated record. The transcript has 4 exons. NCBI's taxonomy places the organism in Eukaryota, Metazoa, Chordata, Mammalia, Rodentia, Cricetidae.